CACCCAUGAGACGCAAGUAACCUGACUGGUGGGAUGGCUUGUGCCUGCACCAUCGACCGACCAUGAUCUUCUGUGAAAGGUUUGAGUACGAGCAUACCUGUUGGGACCCGAAAGAUGGUGAACUAUGCCUGAGCAGGGCGAAGCCAGAGGAAACUCUGGUGGAGGCUCGUAGAUGUGCUGACGUGCAAAUCGCUUUUCGGACUUGGGUAUAGGGGCGAAAGACUAAUCGAACCAUCUAGUAGCUGGUUCCCUCCGAAGUUUCCCCCAGGAUAGCUGGAGCUUGAUCAGUUUUAUCAGGUAAAGCGAAUGAUUAGAGGUACCGGGGAUGAAACAUCCUCGACCUAUUCUCAAACUUUAAAUAGGUAAGACGUCUGGGUUGCUUAAUUGAACCCAGGCAUUCAAUGAGAGCUCCAAGUGGGCCAUUUUUGGUAAGCAGAACUGGCGAUGCGGGAUGAACCGAAAGCUGAGUUAAGG
Molecule: ribosomal RNA, 474 nt
Filed under: Trebouxia gelatinosa
Lineage: Eukaryota; Viridiplantae; Chlorophyta; Trebouxiophyceae; Trebouxiales; Trebouxiaceae
Description: eukaryotic LSU rRNA
Rfam family: Eukaryotic large subunit ribosomal RNA
Source: RNAcentral